RNAcentral lists this ribosomal RNA (445 nucleotides) under uncultured bacterium. Its description in RNAcentral is "partial 16S ribosomal RNA". It matches the Rfam family "Bacterial small subunit ribosomal RNA", at positions 331 to 792 of the family's 1533-position model. The record is from RNAcentral.
CCAGACUCCUACGGGAGGCAGCAGUGGGGAAUAUUGCACAAUGGGGGAAACCCUGAUGCAGCGACGCCGCGUGAGUGAAGAGGUAUUUCGGUAUGUAAAGCUCUAUCAGCAGGGAAGAAAAUGACGGUACCUGACUAAGAAGCCCCGGCUAACUACGUGCCAGCAGCCGCGGUAAUACGUAGGGGGCAAGCGUUAUCCGGAUUUACUGGGUGUAAAGGGAGCGUAGGUGGCAUGGUAAGCCAGAAGUGAAAACCCGGGGCUCAACCCCGCGGAUUGCUUUUGGAACUAUCAGGCUGGAGUGCUGGAGGGGUAAGCGGAAUUCCUAGUGUAGCGGUGAAAUGCGUAGAUAUUAGGAGGAACACCGGUGGCGAAGGCGGCCUGCUGGACUGCAACUGACGUUGAGGCCCGAAAGCGUGGGGAGCAAACAGGAUUAGAUACCCCAGUA